CAUAUACUCCCUCCGUCCGAAAAUACUUGUCUCGGAAAUGGUUGUAUCUAGACUUAUUUUAGUUAUAGAUACAUCCAUUUUAUCCAUUUAUAGGACAAGUAUUUCCGGACGGAGGGAGUAUGUU
This is a non-coding RNA of Triticum aestivum (bread wheat), 124 nucleotides long. Lineage: Eukaryota; Viridiplantae; Streptophyta; Magnoliopsida; Poales; Poaceae. The record is from Rfam.